UGGUAGAAUAAGGCUAGCCUCCCUGCCACCCUUACAUGAUCGAGAGGGGAAAAAUGGGUACUCACCAUAAGGGCGUCUGCCCGAAGCGGCACCACGGGGAUACCUGGAGCCCCAGGAUCUCCCUCUGGCUGGGAAGAAGGGAGGCGACCUCGCAUCUUGCAAUCCUCGGGAAGGAAAGAAGGAACCUCUGGAGGCCCUGAACGAGCCACGGAAGCCCCGGCCGGGUGGACGGUUCCUGCUACGCCCGGCCCCUCCGAAAACCUUGGGAGCGAACACGCGCUUCAUAUUCGCUUGGGCCUUGUCAAUGGCCGUAAAGGUCUUAACAUAGGAACCAAGG
Molecule: non-coding RNA, 337 nt
Organism: Pelobates cultripes (western spadefoot toad)
Lineage: Eukaryota; Metazoa; Chordata; Amphibia; Anura; Pelobatidae
Source: the annotation of a GenBank genome assembly